GAGUUUGAUCCUGGCUCAGGACGAACGCUGGCGGCGUGCCUAAUACAUGCAAGUCGAACGAACUCUGGUAUUGAUUGGUGCUUGCAUCAUGAUUUACAUUUGAGUGAGUGGCGAACUGGUGAGUAACACGUGGGAAACCUGCCCAGAAGCGGGGGAUAACACCUGGAAACAGAUGCUAAUACCGCAUAACAACUUGGACCGCAUGGUCCGAGUUUGAAAGAUGGCUUCGGCUAUCACUUUUGGAUGGUCCCGCGGCGUAUUAGCUAGAUGGUGNGGUAACGGCUCACCAUGGCAAUGAUACGUAGCCGACCUGAGAGGGUAAUCGGCCACAUUGGGACUGAGACACGGCCCAAACUCCUACGGGAGGCAGCAGUAGGGAAUCUUCCACAAUGGACGAAAGUCUGAUGGAGCAACGCCGCGUGAGUGAAGAAGGGUUUCGGCUCGUAAAACUCUGUUGUUAAAGAAGAACAUAUCUGAGAGUAACUGUUCAGGUAUUGACGGUAUUUAACCAGAAAGCCACGGCUAACUACGUGCCAGCAGCCGCGGUAAUACGUAGGUGGCAAGCGUUGUCCGGAUUUAUUGGGCGUAAAGCGAGCGCAGGCGGUUUUUUAAGUCUGAUGUGAAAGCCUUCGGCUCAACCGAAGAAGUGCAUCGGAAACUGGGAAACUUGAGUGCAGAAGAGGACAGUGGAACUCCAUGUGUAGCGGUGAAAUGCGUAGAUAUAUGGAAGAACACCAGUGGCGAAGGCGGCUGUCUGGUCUGUAACUGACGCUGAGGCUCGAAAGUAUGGGUAGCAAACAGGAUUAGAUACCCUGGUAGUCCAUACCGUAAACGAUGAAUGCUAAGUGUUGGAGGGUUUCCGCCCUUCAGUGCUGCAGCUAACGCAUUAAGCAUUCCGCCUGGGGAGUACGGCCGCAAGGCUGAAACUCAAAGGAAUUGACGGGGGCCCGCACAAGCGGUGGAGCAUGUGGUUUAAUUCGAAGCUACGCGAAGAACCUUACCAGGUCUUGACAUACUAUGCAAAUCUAAGAGAUUAGACGUUCCCUUCGGGGACAUGGAUACAGGUGGUGCAUGGUUGUCGUCAGCUCGUGUCGUGAGAUGUUGGGUUAAGUCCCGCAACGAGCGCAACCCUUAUUAUCAGUUGCCAGCAUUAAGUUGGGCACUCUGGUGAGACUGCCGGUGACAAACCGGAGGAAGGUGGGGAUGACGUCAAAUCAUCAUGCCCCUUAUGACCUGGGCUACACACGUGCUACAAUGGAUGGUACAACGAGUUGCGAACUCGCGAGAGUAAGCUAAUCUCUUAAAGCCAUUCUCAGUUCGGAUUGUAGGCUGCAACUCGCCUACAUGAAGUCGGAAUCGCUAGUAAUCGCGGAUCAGCAUGCCGCGGUGAAUACGUUCCCGGGCCUUGUACACACCGCCCGUCACACCAUGAGAGUUUGUAACACCCAAAGUCGGUGGGGUAACCUUUUAGGAACCAGCCGCCUAAGGUGGGACAGAUGAUUAGGGUGAAGUC
RNAcentral lists this ribosomal RNA (1513 nucleotides) under Lactiplantibacillus pentosus. Its description in RNAcentral is "Lactobacillus pentosus partial 16S ribosomal RNA". It matches the Rfam family "Bacterial small subunit ribosomal RNA". Lineage: Bacteria; Bacillati; Bacillota; Bacilli; Lactobacillales; Lactobacillaceae. The record is from RNAcentral.